UACGAAGGGAGCUAGCGUUGUUCGGAAUCACUGGGCGUAAAGCGCACGUAGGCGGAUGUGUCAGUCAGGGGUGAAAUCCCGGAGCUCAACUUCGGAACUGCCUUUGAUACAGCACGUCUUGAGUCCGAUAGAGGUGGGUGGAAUUCCUAGUGUAGAGGUGAAAUUCGUAGAUAUUAGGAAGAACACCGGUGGCGAAGGCGGCCCACUGGAUCGGUACUGACGCUGAGGUGCGAAAGCGUGGGGAGCAAACAGG
This 253-nucleotide ribosomal RNA is filed under the name uncultured bacterium. Its description in RNAcentral is "partial 16S ribosomal RNA". It matches the Rfam family "Bacterial small subunit ribosomal RNA", at positions 524 to 776 of the family's 1533-position model. The record is from RNAcentral. RNAcentral also lists the same sequence under 2 other names.